RNAcentral lists this transfer RNA (72 nucleotides) under Armatimonadota bacterium. Its description in RNAcentral is "Armatimonadetes bacterium (groundwater metagenome) tRNA-Gly". It matches the Rfam family "tRNA". From Rfam's summary of the family: Transfer RNA (tRNA) molecules are approximately 80 nucleotides in length. Their secondary structure includes four short double-helical elements and three loops (D, anti-codon, and T loops). The record is from RNAcentral. Lineage: Bacteria; Bacillati; Armatimonadota.
GCGGGAGUAGUUCAGGGGUAGAACGCCUCCUUGCCAAGGAGGAGGUCACGGGUUCGAAUCCCGCCUCCCGCU